This 545-nucleotide long non-coding RNA is filed under the name Nicotiana benthamiana. RNAcentral describes it as "long non-coding RNA (NBEN_LNC028014)". The record is from RNAcentral. Lineage: Eukaryota; Viridiplantae; Streptophyta; Magnoliopsida; Solanales; Solanaceae.
GACAAGCCCUGACCUUCUUGUGAUUCUUGGAGACGGAGUUUGCGUGGCGAUGGUUUGUUUACGGUAAAGUCCUUUUACCAGAGUAUGUUGGUGAGAGGAGACCAUUUUUUCAUACUUUCCUAUUUGGAUUCCUAAGGCGCCACCGAAGGUGUACUUUUUUGCAUGGCUAGCGGCAAGGGGAGUGAUCUUGACUGAGAGGAAUUACACUUGUUAGUUGGUGCUAUAUGUGUAAAAGCUCAGGGGAAGAAGUUGAUCAUGUUUUGUUGCAUUGCCCUGUGUCCUCGGCUUUGUGGAGGGCAAUCAUGAAUUUUUUUGGUGUUCAAAGGGUGAUGCCAAGCUCUGUAAAAGAAAUGUUAUAUAGCUGGGCCGGUAUCCUCGGCUUUGUGGAGAGCAAUCCUGAAUCUUUUUAGUGUUCAAUGGGUGAUACCAAGUACUAUAAAGGAGAUGUUACAUGGCUGGGCUGAUUUCCGAAGAAGAAGAAAACAAAAGGCGUGGAAGUUCGUCCCGUUAGCUCUCAUGUGGAUAGUUUGGGAGGAGAGAAAUAU